AUUGAACGCUGGCGGCAUGCCUUACACAUGCAAGUCGAACGGCAGCACGGGGGCAACCCUGGUGGCGAGUGGCGAACGGGUGAGUAAUACAUCGGAACGUGUCCUGUAGUGGGGGAUAGCCCGGCGAAAGCCGGAUUAAUACCGCAUACGCUCUACGGAGGAAGGGGGGGGAUCUUAGGACCUCCCGCUACAGGGGCGGCCGAUGGCAGAUUAGCUAGUUGGUGGGGUAAAGGCCUACCAAGGCGACGAUCUGUAGCUGGUCUGAGAGGACGACCAGCCACUGGGACUGAGACACGGCCCAGACUCCUACGGGAGGCAGCAGUGGGGAAUUUUGGACAAUGGGGGCAACCCUGAUCCAGCAAUGCCGCGUGUGUGAAGAAGGCCUUCGGGUUGUAAAGCACUUUUGUCCGGAAAGAAAACGCCGUGGUUAAUACCCGUGGCGGAUGACGGUACCGGAAGAAUAAGCACCGGCUAACUAC
Molecule: ribosomal RNA, 479 nt
Filed under: uncultured bacterium
Lineage: Bacteria
Description: bacterial SSU rRNA
Rfam family: Bacterial small subunit ribosomal RNA
Source: RNAcentral